CACGUAGGGGGCAAGCGUUGUCCGGAUUUAUUGGGCGUAAAGAGCUCGUAGGCGGCUUAGUAAGUCGGGUGUGAAACCUCCAGGCUCAACCUGGAGACGCCACCCGAUACUGCUGUGGCUAGAGUCCGGUAGGGGAGCGUGGAAUUCCUGGUGUAGCGGUGAAAUGCGCAGAUAUCGGGAAGAACACCCGUGGCGAAGGCGGCUCUCUGGGACGGUACUGACGCUGAGACGCGAAAGCGUGGGGAGCGAACAGG
Molecule: ribosomal RNA, 254 nt
Filed under: uncultured bacterium
Lineage: Bacteria
Description: partial 16S ribosomal RNA
Rfam family: Bacterial small subunit ribosomal RNA
Source: RNAcentral